RNAcentral lists this long non-coding RNA (8884 nucleotides) under Lactuca sativa (garden lettuce). Its description in RNAcentral is "long non-coding RNA (LSAT_LNC001656)". Lineage: Eukaryota; Viridiplantae; Streptophyta; Magnoliopsida; Asterales; Asteraceae. The record is from RNAcentral.
UCCAAAAUUCAGAUCUGACUCCUCUAAUAUGACUUAAUCCAUAAAGUUGAAACCUUUAAGCCUUUGCAUGGAUGUAAAGGUCACUUUGUUAUCAAAACACCUUUCCUCUUUCCAUAAUGAGACUAUAACUCAUGCAUGACACAUGUAACAACCCGAUAUUUCAACUCCUUGUAAUGACCUAAAAAGCCAAGUAUUGUAACCACCUUGGAGAUUAAUAAAAUUAACUUUGAUAAUAAAAUGCCCAAAAAGUAUCUAUUUAGAUUCCUACUAUGUUCAAUAUCUUUAAACCAGGAUCAUACGUAAAAUGGAUGCCCAAAUCCGGCUUCGUUUAUUGAAGAUAAGAUUUUUCCAAGUUCGGCUUAGCAGCAGACAGCUAAAAACUCGAAUCGGAGAUCGAGCGACUUUUGGCCGGAAUGACCUAAACGAGAAUCGAAGGUCUCGACAAUGGUAUUUCAGCGGUAAAAAGUCUGGCAAAAACCGACGUCAGAUAAAGAAGUUAUGAAUUUUUAAAGAAAUUCCUUAAUCAUGUCAUUUUAAUAAAUAAUAAUAAAAAUAAUUUCAUAAUUGCCAACGGAGUUUAAACGAAAGUUGUAGAGCAUAGUCUCACCUACGUGUGGGUAUAAAGACCAUCGAAAAUGGAGUUCGUAUGAGGAAGAUAUGAUUUUUUGAAGUUUAUUAAAUAAAUUAUAAUUAUAUUUAAAUCAAAAUGCUAGUAAUAUCCGAAGACGAGUCAGCGUCCUCAUCCGGGUUACGCGUUGCGUAGCCUCGUACGCCCCGCAUACGCGAGGGUCUUGGUCUCGGUCCGUCCACGUCGCCCCUAUGCGAUCUGUCCCAUCCGAGCUCCGGGGCAGUCGAGGACUCGCUCAUGCAUGACGCACGGGUACGCGCUGCGUACGCCCGUACGCCCCGCGUACCGAGCCCUCUCAGCCCCUAUAAAAGGGAUGCGAGGGUCUCCGGAAAACUUGCUCAUUUCUUCUCAUUUCUCUUGUGUUUUUCCUCGUUUUCCGUGCCCGUUCAAACCCGAAGCUCUGGUCUUUUUGCUCAAGUCCCGAGAGUCGAUUUUACUCCCGAGAUUCCCGAGAAUCCCGAGAAAAAUCCGUUUCCCGAGACGAAACUCUGCCCGGUUUUCCAUCUCGCUAUCUUCAAACUUUCAAGUGAGUUCAUACCCCUUNCCUUCAAACACACUUUAAAUAUAUUUUAAAUGCUUUUAUACUCUUUUCUGGGGGGAAUACAAGUAAACAUACGGUUAUUAUCGUGUAUUUCAUAAAAUUUCACUUACUCGUUUUUAUCAAAUGAAUCACUUGUGAUUUAGUACUACUAUGUGAAAACUCCUGUCAUACUUUGCAUGCACUGGAUUUGUACAAAGUAUUUAGUAAUUCCAUAGUAUCCUUCGUUGCUAAACCGUUUUAUACAUUCUAAAAAUUUAUGAUUUGUGCUUUGCCAAACAUUGUGAAAAAGGGUAAACUUUGCACACAAAACUAUUACUUUAAUACAGACUUAGUUGAGAAUCCAUGAGACACGUACAUCUUCAACUACUGCCUUUUUAUUGGAAGGUAUCGCUACAAGUACUGUCUAUAACCAUAGUCUCCCAUUCGGAGAACGUGCCAAAUGUGUAUAGAUCUAUACGGGAAGUCAUGAUCCCGCGCCCUGACUGUUAGUUACAGUGCUUCCUUUGGGGUGACAGUUUGUCAUAACGCUACGACUCCUGAAGAACGUCGCUACAGGCAUAUUAUGUUUAGUAUGGUUAUAAAACUCAUCGGAUACACAACUAUUAUAGUACUUCUGAUUGAUGAACGAGUAGCUAUUAAAACUAUUCUUUAUCUAACAAACUGAAAUCUUCUGAUAGGUUUAUUAUAUAAAGCUAUGUUUAAAAUAGCCUAAAGCAUGUGGAUUGCUUUCAACGUUUUUUGUCUUGGACAUUAAACAAACUAUUACUUUAGGAAAAUAAGGGAUUUUCCUGUAUACAAACCAAACAACUAUUAGGAAAAUAAGGGAUUAAUGCGCUGGCGUUAAUUAUAUCUUUUGAAAGAUGUUUAUGCAUUUAUCUUUUGAGCAUGGAAUGAAUACAAUGAUUUAAACAUUUUCAAAACCUUUAUAUAUGUAUGGUGGUGUGUACUUUCCUUUCUAUGAACUGUUAUGAUACUGAAUAUGACGUCCUCCGCCCCCGAACGUUUCCGCCGUUCUGGUUUGGGGGUGUGACAGAUUGGUAUCAGAGCUUUGUUUAUAGGGAAUUAAGUAUAUCAAAACCAUUUCUUUUUGAUAUACAACUAUAAACUCAACUGGGCAAAAACACUCUGAGAAGAAUCAUACUUUUGAAAUUAAAUUUAAAUAGUUUUUAAAGUAGGCAUGCACUCAUUUCACACUAAUAACAUUUUCAUAUCGGAUAAUUUUAGAAGUAUUAUAAAUAAAUUUUGCAGUACAGGUGCGCCUUGGGACAUGUAAUCGGAACUGGGAAGAAUAUAGCCUGAUCAACUAUAUUUGUCCGAGAGUCGACUAACAUGUGCCAAGGAGUGUCUGCAGUGGACAACAAUUUUAAAACUUACCAAAAGCACAUCAUUACAUAAUACUAAGGGAGUUUUUGUGUUGUCAUCAACCAUUAAACUUAAGGGUAAAUUUCAUGUGCUCUAGCUUAUAGUAAAUUCUUAACCCUAUUCUCGUACAGACUCAAUGGCUGGAUUCCAUCACCCCAAUGACCCCUACUACCCCAACCAAGGUAAUGGAGGAUGGAUCGAAGAAGAUCCUNAGAAUUGGAUGAGGGAGAUGACUCUGGUACGGAUUCGGAGCCAGAAGUUAUCAAUCCACCGAUCCCACAAUCUCCCGUCCACGUGACGAACUUCCAAGGACCCACUCCUGUGUGGGGAAGUCACCUCAACCAUUGGAGCCGACAACAAAGCUUACGCCCUCCCUAUGGCAUGUGCCGAGACUUCUAUGAUGUCAGAGGCGGGGGAUAAGCAGACCGAGCACUUCCAGUCAUGGUUGGCAAACUAGCCAACCAGUGCUACCAAUCCUUAGUUCAAGCCAUCCGGAUCCGCGAGGUCAAUGUGGAAGUGCAAGAGCACACUUCCGAUAUCCGCCGUUUGGACAAGUUGCAAGGGUAUGGCCUAGACCGCACUAAUGCCAUCCAAGAACAAAUGAAUGCAGCAAUCGUAACAAUAGCGGAGAUAAGGGAACGACAAGCUGCGUUUGAUAGGCGCCUCAUGGAGUCAAAGCAGUCCGACACGGAGUCAAGCUCCAAGCGCAAACCACGCCGCAAGUAGUACUUGCCCGAUUCUCAAAUUUUGUUAUAAAUUAGGACUUCGGAUAAAAGUAUUAUUUUCUUUGAAAUUUUCUGUAAUCGGAGACCUUUAGAAAGGUCAAAAACUUUUGCCUAUGACUCAGAUGUAACACAACUAUAUGUUUAAUAUAUAUAGGGCAUAUCUCUUUCUUGUUUUAAUUAUGUGUAGUCCGUUCAAUCCAUCAGUACAUCUAUUCAAACGAUAUUUGUGAAUCAAGCUCAAAGCCCUGUGUUGGCCAAACUAAAUACUUAAACGAUUAAGGAGAGUUAAAUCAUUAUAAUUCAACUCUAAACUACCAAAACUUAUAAAUCUUUCAUUUUCUUUUUGGCAGCACGAUGCCUCCUCGCCCAAACCUAAGGCCCAGACCGGGCACGACACCACCUCCACCACCAACUUAUGAUCCAACCAUGGUCCAGGCUGCUAUCACAGCAGCAGUAACUGCAGCCCUCUCGCAAAUAAAUUCCAACGGAAAUGGAGGGGCAUGAAGCAGCACGAAUCAUUCCAAUCAUGGCACUGGUCGUGGUCAAGUAAGAGAAUGUACUUACAAGGAGUUCUCUAACGUUAAGCCAAGAACUUUUAAUGGAAUUGUGGGAGUCAUUGCACUAAUGCAAUGGUUCGAAAAGACCGAAACGGUCUUCAAGAUCUGCUCAUGCCAAGAAACAAGCAAAGUCAAGUUUGCUGCUUGCACCUUCAUUGACCGAGCCCUCACCUGGUGGAAAAGCCAUGUCAAUUCUGUGACUCUUACUGUCGCCAACGCCAUGAGUUGGGAAGAUCUGAAGGUUCUACUACUGGAAGAAUACUGCCCAAGGGGCGAGAUACAGAAACUUGAGCAAGGGCUUUGGAAUCUGAAGAUGAUUGGGUCUGAUCUAGUCGCCUACACAGCUAGGUUCAACGACCUCGCUACUUUGUGCCCUACCAUGGUCAACCCAGAAUCAAAGAAGGUCGAAAGGUACAUUUGGGAGUUGUCACCCCAGAUUCAAGGGCAUGUCCUAGCUUCCAACCCUAUUACCUACAACAGUGCAGAACGCCUGGCUCAGCGACUUAUCGACCACAGAGUAAAACAGGGUACCAUUGUAGCUACCGCCAAUCCAUCUAAAGAGGCACAGGGCCAGGGAAGGCCUUGGAACAAAAGAAGGGGGAAAACCAUACAGGAGAACCCCAAGAAACAACAAGUGGUAGCGACCCACGCUAUUACUGUACCUACCACCAUUGCUCCCACAAGUUCAUACAAUGGAAAACUUCCGAAAUGUAACCAGUGCAACUUCCACCACCACGGUCUCUGCCGUAACCUUCAAUGCACUAGGUGCAAUAGGAAGGGUCAUACAGCCCGCUAUUGCAAAGAUCCAACCCAACAAUCCGCCCCCACUACUAAUACCGGAGUAAGUCGCGCCUGCUUUGAGUGCGGAGACACGGGACACUACCGAAGGGACUGCCCGAAGGCAAACAAUAGGAAUACCGGCGGAAGGGGCCGAGUUUUCGCAAUGGGGCAAGAUGAAGCCAUUGCGGACCCUACUGUUGUUACGGGUAUGUUUCUUCUCGAUAACUCGUAUGCAUGCAUUUUGUUUGAUAGUGGAGCGGAAAGGAGUUUUGUGAGUCACGACUUUAAAGGCAUGCUAAAACCAAUACCACAAUCAUUAAGUGAACCAUUCAUAGUAGAAAUGGCCAACGGGAAAACCGAAGGCACUAAGGAGAUAUACUUAAACUGCACCCUAACUCUAAACGAUAAUCCCUUUUCAAUCAGCCUCAUGCCAGUCUCGAUUAAGAGUUUCGAUGUCAUCAUUGGCAUGGAUUCGCUGAGUUCUCAUCGUGCGGACAUUUUAUGUUACGAUAAGGCCGUUCGCCUUAAUCUGCCAACCGGCGAAACUUUCAUUGUCUUGGGCGACAAACCCAGUACCACUCUUCGUAUCAUCUCAAGUAUCCAAGCACAGAAGUGCCUACGCAAGGAGUGUCACGCGUUUCUGGCACAUGUUGUAGAUGUGAAACGCGAAGUCCAGGACGUCAAGGAUGUGCCCGACGUAUGCGAUUUUCCCGACGUUUUUCCCGAGGACCUUCCAGGAAUACCACCCGCAAGACAAGUCGAGUUCAGAAUCGAUCUGGUUCCCGGAGCUACCCCAGUAGCCAAAGCACCCUAUCGAUUAGCCCCGGCAGAGAUGCAGGAGCUAUCCAGCCAACUGAAUGAACUACUUGGAAAAGGAUUCGUCAGGCCGAGCUUCUCGCCAUGGGGAGCACCCGUGUUGUUCGUGAAAAAGAAGGAUGGAUCGUUCAGGAUGUGCAUCGAUUACCGAGAACUCAACAAACCUACCAUCAAAAACCGAUACCCCCUACCCCGAAUCGACGACUUAUUCGAUCAACUCCAAGGAGCCAACUACUUCUCCAAGAUCGAUCUGAGGUCGGGAUAUCACCAGCUGCGAGUCCUAGAGGGUGAUGUUCCCAAGACGGCCUUCCGAACGAGAUACGGACAUUACGAGUUCGUAGUGAUGCCGUUCGGACUAACCAAUGCCCCGGCCGUAUUCAUGGAUCUAAUGAAUCGGGUAUGUCGUCCAUUCUUGGAUAAAUUUGUGAUAGUAUUCAUAGACGACAUACUCAUUUAUUCAAAGAAUAAACAAGAACAUAGUCAGCACCUGAGACAAGUCUUAGAGACGUUACGGACUGAGAGACUUUAUGCAAAAUUCUCAAAAUGUGAGUUUCGGAUGAGACAGGUGGACUUCCUCGGUCUCGUGGUCAGCAAGGAAGGAAUCCACGUGGACCCCUUAAAAAUCAAGGCUAUCGAAAACUGGUCUGCACCAACUACACCAACUGAAAUUCGCCAGUUUCUAGGUCUUGUUGGUUAUUAUCGGAGAUUCAUCCAGAAUUUCUCUAGCAUCGCAAAGCCUCUUACCGCUUUAACCCAGAAAGGUGUAACCUACAACUGGGGAGAAAAGCAAGAUGCUGCAUUUCAAACCUUGAAACAAGCCCUUUGCAGUGCACCUAUCCUUUCUCUUCCGGAAGGGACCGAAGAUUUUGUGGAGUAUUGCGACGCUUUGAAGCAAGGGUUGGGCUGUGUGCUAAUAAAGAGGGGAAAGGUUAUUGCAUAUGCCUCACGACAACUGAAAAAGCAUGAGGUCAAUUACAUCACUCAUGACUUAGAACUUGGAGCGGUGGUCUUCGCUCUUAAAAUCUGGAGGCACUACCUAUACGGUACCAAGUGCACUAUCUUUACAGACCACAAGAGCCUCCAACACAUCUUCGACCAGAAGGAGUUAAACAUGAGACAACGACGUUGGGUCGAAUUGCUCAACGACUACGAAUGUGAGAUUCGCUAUCAUCCGGGAAAGGCAAACGUCGUGGCCGAUGCCCUUAGUCGAAAGGAGUACUCUGGCCGAAGAGUGAAGUCAUUAGCCAUGUCGAUCCAUUCGCACCUGUCAGCGCAAGUCAAGGAAGCUCAAAUAGAGGCCUUGAAACCCGAAAACGUGACAGGUGAGGCCCUUAGGGGAAUGGACAAGAACUUAGAAAUCAAGAGUGACGGAGCACGCUACCUCAUGAACCGGAUCUGGACACCCAAGUUUGGUGGAUUCAGAGAGGUAGUUAUGAGCGAGGCACACAGGACUCCAUACUCCGUACACCCAGGGUCAGACAAGAUGUAUCUAGAUCUCAAGCAACUCUACUGGUGGCCAAACAUGAAAGCGGAGAUUGCUACAUAUGUGAGCAAGUGUUUGACUUGCGCCAAAAUAAAAAUAGAACACCAGAAACCCUCAGGCCUACUCCAACAACCUGAAAUACCUGAGUGGAAAUGGGAGCAGAUUUCCAUGGACUUCAUAACCAAACUGCCCAAAACUCAGAGUGGCCAAGAUACUAUUUGGGUAAUCGUCGACAGAUUAACCAAGUCAGCCCAUUUCUUACCGAUCAAGGAAACUGAUAGGAUGGAAAAACUAUCAAGAACCUACAUCCGGGAGAUCGUACGACUUCAUGGAGUACCGAUGUCCAUCAUCUCAGAUAGAGACAACAGAUUCACUUCCAGAUUCUGGCAAUCAUUGCAAAAAUCCAUGGGAACAAGGUUGGAUAUGAGUACAGCAUACCACCCACAAACUGACGGACAGAGUGAGAGGACGAUCCAAACCUUGGAAGACAUGUUGCAAGCAUGUGUAAUCGACUUUGGUAAGGCAUGGGAUGUUCACUUACCUUUGGUCGAGUUCUCUUAUAACAAUAGUUAUCAUACUAGUAUCAAGACUGCUCCAUUUGAAGCCCUUUACGGCCGUUAGUGCAGAUCACCCCUGUGCUGGACGGAAGUGGGCGACACGCAAUUGGCAAAAGGGCUAGUCCCUAAUAGCACCCUUACUGGUCUGGAGAUCAUCAGAGAAACGACUAAAAAGAUCGUGCAAAUACGAGAACGACUGAAGUCGUCAAGAGAUAGGAAAAAGAGCUAUGCCGACAAAAGAUGUAAGCCCUUGGAAUUCCAGAUUGGCGACCGUGUACUACUGAAGAUCUCACCCUGGAAGGGCAUGAUACGUUUUGGAAAGCAUGGAAAGCUAAAUCCUAGGUACGUUGGACCCUUCGAAAUCAUUUCAAGAGUUGGUCCAGUGGCCUACAAACUCCAACUUCCAAUUGAGCUUAACAAAGUACAUCCAGUAUUCCACGUAUCGAACCUAAAGAAGUGUUUGUCCGACAAAACACUUGUAAUUCCUCUCGAUGAAAUCGAACAAAAUGAAAAUCUUAACUUUGUGGAAGAACCCAUCGAGAUCAUGGAUAGGGAAGUCAAACGAACUAAACAGAGCCGCAUUCCAAUAGUAAAGGUUCGAUGGAAUUCUAAGAGAGGACCCGAGUUCACAUGGGAACGGGAAGACCAAAUGCAACAGAAAUAUCCGCACCUCUUCCUCAGUCCCUAAGGCUUCUCUUUUGUAUUAAAAUUUCGGGACGAAAUUCCCUCUAACGGGGGGAUGAUGUAACAACCCGAUAUUUCAACUCCUUGUAAUGACCUAAAAAGCCAAGUAUUGUAACCACCUUGGAGAUUAAUAAAAUUAACUUUGAUAAUAAAAUUCCCAAAAAGUAUCUAUUUAGAUUCCUACUAUGUUCAAUAUCAUUAAACCAGGAUCGUACGUAAAAUGGAUGCCCAAAUCCGGCUUCGUUUAUUGAAGAUAAGAUUUUUCCAAGUUCGGCUUAGCAGCAGACAACUAAAAACUCGAAUCGGAGGCCGAGCGACUUUUGGCCGGAAUGACCUAAACGAGAAUCGAAGGUCUCGACAAUGGUAUUUCAGCGGUAAAAAGUCUGGCAAAAACCGACGUCAGAUAAAGAAGUUAUGAAUUUUUAAAGAAAUUCCUUAAUCACAAUAUUUUAUAAAUAAAUAAUAAAAAUAAUUUCAUAAUUUGCCAACGGAGUCUAAACGAAAGUUGUAGAGCAUAGUCUCACCUACGCGUGGAUAUAAAGACCAUCGAAAACGGAGUUCGUAUGAGGAAGAUAUGAAUUUUUGAAGUUUAUUAAAUAAAUUAUAAUUAUAUUUAAAUCAAAAAUGCUAGUAAUAUCCGAAGAGGAGUCAGCGUCCUCAUCCGAGGUACGCGCCGCGUAACCCCGUACGCCCCGCGUACCCGAGGGCCUUGGCCUCGGACCGUCCACGUCGCCCCUCUACGAACCUACCG